GAAAGAAAUUAUAAGAUAUUCAUUAUCUGAAGCUUGUGAACUGGUGGAUCUUCAAUAGAUUCUAGUAAGAAGUAUGUCUUUCUGACUAAGGGUAUUUGACUUGGGUAGGGCAUGUCAAAGUACUCCACCAAUCAGAACUUCUGUUAAUGACCCCCGACAUCUUAUCCUUGGUGCUUGAGUUUACAGCCCCUGUAUUAGAUCAAAUACAAAACCAACUUCAUUUAAUUCGUGCCCAAGGACUACCUAAAGAAUCACAAACUUCUUCAAAUAUCAAGGGUUUUAGGCCAUGAACACUGUAAUGAUUUGAAAAUGACUUCUAAGUGACAGACAAGCAAGCAGUCAUUAGUUUGGGGGGAAAUUUUGGUAUAACCUACUACUACGAUUACUACUAGUUUUAUUCGCCAAUACCAGGGUUUAUACCUCUGACUAAGCUUUUUGCUGGUUGUUUUGGAAAUGGAGUCUCUCAGACUUUUCGGCCCUGGCUGGCUGUAUAUCAUGAUUUUCUAGGUCUCAGCCUCUAGAGUACCCAGAUGCCCAGCUGAGAUAGAACUCAUUUUUGAGCAGUUAAAGAUAGGAUUUUUCUGACAUAGCAUUAUAUCAGCUUUGUCUUUUUCACUUUUUAAGGGAUUUUUGGAAAGUUCUAUAGAUUACUUAUAUGACUAUAGAUAAGAGUUCUG
Perognathus longimembris pacificus (Pacific pocket mouse) is the source of this 677-nucleotide long non-coding RNA. RefSeq lists it as uncharacterized. The transcript is spliced from 3 exons. NCBI's taxonomy places the organism in Eukaryota, Metazoa, Chordata, Mammalia, Rodentia, Heteromyidae. The record is from RefSeq and is a predicted model, not a curated record.